RNAcentral lists this ribosomal RNA (957 nucleotides) under Porolithon onkodes. RNAcentral describes it as "eukaryotic LSU rRNA". It matches the Rfam family "Eukaryotic large subunit ribosomal RNA", at positions 1029 to 2008 of the family's 3401-position model. The record is from RNAcentral. Lineage: Eukaryota; Rhodophyta; Florideophyceae; Corallinales; Porolithaceae.
UUUGGGGAUGUAAUAUCUUCGGUCGAUUCUCAAACUUUAAAUACGCAAGAUAGAGAUGGUUGCUUAAUUGAACCUCUCUACUGAAAACGUCGGCCCUGUGGGCCACUUUUGGUAAGCAGAACUGGCGAUAUGGGAUGAACCAUAAGUUUGGUUAAGGCGUCAAAAUACACGCUUAAAGAUCCCACAAAAGGUGUUGGUUCAUCUAGACAGCAGGACGGUGGCCAUGGAAGUCGGAAUCCGCUAAGGAGUGUGUAACAACUCACCUGCCGAAUGAACUAGCCCUGAAAAUGGAUGACGCUUAAGCGGGUUGCCGACACCAGACCGUUUCGAUAAGAAGCGAUCGAAAUGAGUAGGAGGGCGUGGCGGUUUUGUUGUGAAGGAUGAGACGCAAGUCUAUCUGAAACGGCCGCUAGUGCAGAUCUUGGUGGUAGUAGCAAAUAUUCAAGCGAGAUCCUUGAAGGGCGAAGCGGGGAAGGGUUCCACGCGAACAUUGAUUGGGCGUGGGUGAGUCGUUCCUAAGCCGGGUGGUAAUCGUUCUUCGAUCGGCGAAAGGGAAGCGGGUUAAAAUUCUCGCACACGGAUGUGGAGGCGGUGACGCAAAUUGAGGUGGAGACGUUAGCGGUGGCACUGGGCAGAGUUUUCUUUUCUGUUUAACCUGUGAGUGCACUCUGUGGAAUCCGAUUAUCGGGCGAAACAGGUGCUUAUGGGAAGAGCGUCGGGGCGUCCCCGGCGUCCAGUACGCCACCGAUAGCCCUUGAAAAUCCAUCUGCAAUGAAAUUUCACGCCGUGGCGUACCGAUAACCGCAUCAGGUCCCCAAGGUGAACAGCCUCUGCUCAAUAUGAACAAUGCAGGUAAGGGAAGUCGGCAAAAUAGACCCGUAACUUUGGGAAAAGGGUUGGCUCUAGUGGGGUGGGGGNAUUUUACUGAAUUAUUUGGGUUUGGUUUGGCUGUGUCGA